This is a long non-coding RNA of Xyrauchen texanus (razorback sucker), 984 nucleotides long. RefSeq lists it as uncharacterized. The record is from RefSeq and is a predicted model, not a curated record. The transcript is spliced from 6 exons. Lineage: Eukaryota; Metazoa; Chordata; Actinopteri; Cypriniformes; Catostomidae.
UCACUAUCUUCAAACUGGAAGCAGGCUGCACAGAGUAUCUCAUUCUGCCAGUUUGUUUACUUCCAAUUGAAUACAAUUUUUAAGUUAUUACUGUUAUCAGUAAAUAUGUUAAUUAAAGGAGGGGUUGCAGAAGAAGGAAGAGGAGAGGAGAUUGGCCCUGCUAGCAGAGGAUGAUGGUCCUAAGAAGAAAGCUCCCAGGACUGGGCUGAAUUCUGUAUUGCUGUUACAGGAGAGACAUUUGGGUCUGCUGCCCCCAAGCUUCUAUUGUGGGCUGAUCCAUGAAGUGAAAGUCUGUGGGAUGCAACAUCACAAGCUGGAGGUGCAGAGUGCCAUCUCCACCAGCCCAAACACAGACACCAUCCAUCUCAUAGCUGCAGAUUCAGCUUAUGAGCGAAUGUUCACUGUGAAUGGUGUCACACAGAGGCUGCAAGUAUUGCAUUAUGAACAUCCAUGGUUGCAGAAAAGGUUCUGUGUAUGUGUGAUAACCUUAACCAACUGCAAGGUGAAUUCUGUAUGCUGGGCCUCUGUGACACACUGACACUCACAUUCUGUAUCCUUCAUGCAUAUUGCAUUUUAGGGAACUGUCAAUUUUCUGUUAUGUUUUACUUUAUUAUUUGAAAUUGUAGAAUUGGUGUAUAGUUGUUUUAGUAAAUUAUAUGUAGCCCCUCACUGAAUCUUAGACAGCAGAAUUUUAACAUCCUUCAUUCACGAUUCUUAACAUUUCCCAAACCUAUUUUUUGUUUUUUAAAUGACUGAGUUUAAAUAAAUAUCUUUCAGCUACCAAUUAAAUCCAUUUCACAGAUUUUAACCCCACAAUCAACACAGGAAAUGUGGGGUAAAAGUGCAGGUUCCAUAGGGGAAUAAUUUAACAGUUAUUUCUGAUCAGGUUAUGUUUGCUGGGCAUCUCUCAGAUCCCAGACUGUGUAAGCCUAUUGCCUGCUUCUCUUUUCAGUAACUUCAAUCCAGGUGAUUUAAAAAAGUACA